This is a non-coding RNA of Oryza punctata, 208 nucleotides long. The record is from Rfam. Lineage: Eukaryota; Viridiplantae; Streptophyta; Magnoliopsida; Poales; Poaceae.
AAUAAACACAGUGUUGCACUGUUCAUAUCCAACGUUUGACCAUCCGUCAUAUUUGAAAAUUUUUUAUGAUUUGUAUUUUUGUUGUUAUUAGAUGAUAAAACAUGAAUAGUAUUUUACGUGUGACUAAUUUUUUUUAAUUUUUUCAUAAAUUUUUCAAAUAAGAGAGAUGAUAAAAUAUUGAACACGAAUAUCCACGACUACAUUUAUU